RNAcentral lists this ribosomal RNA (301 nucleotides) under uncultured fungus. RNAcentral describes it as "SSU rRNA". It matches the Rfam family "Eukaryotic small subunit ribosomal RNA", at positions 67 to 371 of the family's 1831-position model. The record is from RNAcentral. Lineage: Eukaryota; Fungi.
ANGCAAUUACNAAGCGAAACUGCGAAUGGCUCAUUAUAUAAGUUAUCGUUUAUUUGAUAGUACCUUACUACAUGGAUAACCGUGGUAAUUCUAGAGCUAAUACAUGCUGAAAAUCCCGACUUCGGAAGGGAUGUAUUUAUUAGAUUCAAAACCAAUGCCCUUCGGGGCUCCAAUGGUGAUUCAUGAUAACUUCUCGAAUCGCACGGCCCCGCGCCGGCGAUGGUUCAUUCAAAUUUCUUCCCUAUCAACUUUCGAUGCUACGGUAGUGUCCUAGCAUGGUUGCAACGGGUAACGGGGAAUA